ACUGACAUUGUUUUGCAUCUGAUUCCUUGUAGGCUAAACAUAUAUCAUCUCCUCAUAGUUACUGAUGAAAUGAUGUUCUUUCUGGGAUGUUCUCGGAUUGAUGUGCUUCACGUUGUGACACUGGACAGAAUAGGCUUUUUUGGGGAAAUGCAGCACAGGACUUGCUUUGACUUCGUUCAUGCUGAGUGCCUGGUGCAAGUAUACUGAAAGUUAAGCAUAUGGAAACAUUUUGAAAAUGGUUCCCAAAGAACUCUGGAGCUUUGCUGGGAACGAUGAGCGACAGUCUCUGCUGGAGACCGGAAGCUGUGAAGCCACAGACGCCUGUCCAGAAGGUUUUGAACAUGUCAUCCAGCCCACCCCAGCCGACCCUGCCAGAGUGCUGACUCCAUCUUCAUUUGGGAAUUGCCGCCAAUCACUUUCAAGAGG
This 426-nucleotide long non-coding RNA is filed under the name Rhinopithecus bieti (black snub-nosed monkey). RNAcentral describes it as "lncRNA (ENSRBIG00000046584.1)". Lineage: Eukaryota; Metazoa; Chordata; Mammalia; Primates; Cercopithecidae. The record is from RNAcentral.